UACGUAGGGGGCAAGCGUUGUCCGGAUUUAUUGGGCGUAAAGAGCGUGUAGGCGGCUUGGUAGGUCUGGCGUCAAAACCUGAGGCUCAACCUCAGAUCGCGUGGGAAACCUCCUAGCUAGAGUCCGGAAGAGGAGAACGGAAUUCCCAGUGUAGCGGUGAAAUGCGCAGAUAUUGGGAAGAACACCAGUGGCGAAGGCGGUUCUCUGGGACGGUACUGACGCUGAGACGCGAAAGCGUGGGGAGCGAACAGG
This 252-nucleotide ribosomal RNA is filed under the name uncultured bacterium. Its description in RNAcentral is "partial 16S ribosomal RNA". It matches the Rfam family "Bacterial small subunit ribosomal RNA", at positions 524 to 776 of the family's 1533-position model. The record is from RNAcentral.